RNAcentral lists this unclassified non-coding RNA (397 nucleotides) under Hevea brasiliensis (rubber tree). The record is from RNAcentral. Lineage: Eukaryota; Viridiplantae; Streptophyta; Magnoliopsida; Malpighiales; Euphorbiaceae.
AAUAGUCCAAGAGGGGGGUGAAUUAGACUUUAACACUUUUUCGGCCCUUGCUUGUAGCCUUAUGAAAAAUUGUGGCUUUGUUCAAUUAGGUGCUCCUUUAUAUAUAGUGAAGGUGAUAUGUGUUUCAAUAAUGUGUCCCUAAAUUGCAAUUCAAGCUUUAAUCAAUAUUUAUAGCAAUUUUUAACAUAACACGCAUCACAAAAUAUUCAACUAAUUUCUCAACCUACUCAAUAUAUCCUCAAGUAUAUCAACUCAAUCUAUUCAAUCAACAUUCAAUAUCAUGCAUAGAAAUUAAAUUACACAAAAGUAAAGAGAUUAAGGUUAGAGAGAUCAAACACAAUGAUUUUUAUAGUGGUUCGCCUUAACUAGCUUAAACCCUUGACAAGUGCUAUCUCAA